CACGGGGGGGGCGAGCGUUGUCCGGAAUUAUUGGGCGUAAAGAGCGCGUAGGCGGGAUGAUCAGUCCGUGGUGAAAACUUGUGGCUUAACCGCAAGCCUGCCCUGGAUACUGUCAUUCUUGAGUUCGGAAGAGGGAAGUGGAAUUCCUGGUGUAGCGGUGAAAUGCGUAGAUAUCAGGAAGAACACCGGUGGCGAAGGCGGCUUCCUGGUCCGAUACUGACGCUGAGGCGCGAAAGCGUGGGGAGCAAACAGGAUUAGAUACCCCCGUA
Molecule: ribosomal RNA, 269 nt
Filed under: uncultured prokaryote
Description: partial 16S ribosomal RNA
Rfam family: Bacterial small subunit ribosomal RNA
Source: RNAcentral